RNAcentral lists this ribosomal RNA (432 nucleotides) under uncultured bacterium. RNAcentral describes it as "bacterial SSU rRNA". It matches the Rfam family "Bacterial small subunit ribosomal RNA", at positions 43 to 524 of the family's 1533-position model. The record is from RNAcentral.
CAGGCCUAACACAUGCAAGUCGAACGCCCCGCAAGGGGAGUGGCAGACGGGUGAGUAACACGUGGGAACAUACCCUUCGGUUCGGAACAACGCCGGGAAACUGGCGCUAAUACCGGAUACGCCCUUUUGGGGAAAGGCUUGCCGCCGAAGGAGUGGCCCGCGUUCGAUUAGCUUGAUGGCGGGGUAACGGCCCACCAUGGCGACGAUCGAUAGCUGGUCUGAGAGGAUGGCCAGCCACAUUGGGACUGAGACACGGCCCAAACUCCUACGGGAGGCAGCAGUGGGAAUAUUGGACAAUGGGCGCAAGCCUGAUCCAGCCAUGCCGCGUGAGUGAUGACGGCCUUAGGGUUGUAAAGCUCUUUCGCACGCGACGAUAAUGACGGUAGCGUGAGAAGAAGCCCCGGCUAACUUCGUGCCAGCAGCCGCGGUAAU